AUGCAGUUUUACGCGGGAUAUGGUUACCAUGCUAGUAAUUUUGAGCAAACGUACCGCUGCUAUCCAGCAUCUUUUUUUGACAAGCCACACCUGGAAGGUGGUGACAAAGUAAUAAUGCCGCCAUCUGCCCUUGAUCGUCUGGCUUCCCUGCACAUUGAGUAUCCUAUGCUAUUUGAACUGCACAAUGGUGUCACCGACAGGAUUUCACACUGUGGUGUAUUGGAGUUUGUAGCAGAAGAAGGCAUGAUCAUCAUGCCCUACUGGAUGAUGCAAAACAUGCUUCUUCAAGAGGGUGACAUUGUACGUGUCAAGAAUGCUACUCUUCCCAAGGGUACAUAUGUGAAGCUGCAGCCUCACACGACUGAUUUCCUGGACAUCUCGAAUCCCAAAGCCAUCUUGGAGAAAACUCUAAGAAACUUCUCUUGCUUAACCACGGGCGACAGCAUCAUGGUAGCUUACAACAACAAACAGUAUUAUAUUGAUAUUGUUGAAGCAAAACCUGCUUCUGCAGUUAGCAUUAUUGAGACAGACUGUGAGGUGGACUUUGCACCUCCUCUUGAUUACAAAGAACCUGAAAAACCACAGCGUCCCAUAGUUCCUGCAGGCAAGGCACCUGCUGAAGAUCAAGAGGCUAUCGUUGAAGAUGAACCAAAGUUCAAACCAUUCACUGGUUCAGGAAAACGGUUGGAUGGUAAGGGCCCAAAACAACCAGCACCUGGAGCUUCUUCGGCCACUGCGGCUGCACGUUCUGCGCCUUCAGACUCAAACAAAAGGGCAAAUCAGCAAACUGCAUCACCUUCAGGAGCCAGCACAUCCACGCGCCAGAAAACAGGAAAGCUUGUGUUUGGUUCAAGUGCAAGCAGCAAGAAAGAAGCAGAAGCACAGAAGGAGCCUGCUAAAGGGAGUGAGCCUCCGAAGAAGGAAGAGCCGAAGUUCAACGCGUUCACAGGAAAGAGCUACUCCUUGAAGCGUUAG
RNAcentral lists this ribosomal RNA (975 nucleotides) under Triticum aestivum (bread wheat). Its description in RNAcentral is "partial small subunit ribosomal RNA". Lineage: Eukaryota; Viridiplantae; Streptophyta; Magnoliopsida; Poales; Poaceae. The record is from RNAcentral.